RNAcentral lists this unclassified non-coding RNA (208 nucleotides) under uncultured Ramaria. Its description in RNAcentral is "sequence contains ITS1". The record is from RNAcentral. Lineage: Eukaryota; Fungi; Basidiomycota; Agaricomycetes; Gomphales; Gomphaceae.
CAGUAUUAAGCUUGGCUGGAGCGGUCUGGCUUUGCCGGGCUUCGCUCGCCUUCUAUUCCAAACACACCUGUGCACCUUUGCGAACGCCUCCCGUUUGGAGCCGUCCCAUGUAACCUCCUUAGGGAGGGGGUGGGGCCGAGGCGUUCCUUUUUUCUUACACACCACGGCCUGUCCACGCAUGUCUAACUCUACGGAGUGAAAUGAAAUA